CCUACGGGUGGCAGCAGUGAGGAAUAUUGGUCAAUGGACGAGAGUCUGAACCAGCCAAGUAGCGUGAAGGAUGACUGCCCUAUGGGUUGUAAACCUCUUUUGCCGGGGAGCAGUGGUCCGGACGCGUCCGGACCGGGAGAGUACCCGGAGAAAAAGCAUCGGCUAACUCCGUGCCAGCAGCCGCGGUAAUACGGAGGAUGCGAGCGUUAUCCGGAUUUAUUGGGUUUAAAGGGUGCGUAGGCGGGCAUUUAAGCCGGCGGUCAAAUGUCGGGGCUCAACCCCGGCCUGCCGUCGGAACUGGGUGCCUUGAGUGGGCGAGAAGUAUGCGGAAUGCGUGGUGUAGCGGUGAAAUGCAUAGAUAUCACGCAGAACCCCGAUUGCGAAGGCAGCAUACCGGCGCCCUACUGACGCUGAGGCACGAAAGUGCGGGUAUCGAACAGGAUUAGAUACCCCUGUAGUC
Molecule: ribosomal RNA, 460 nt
Filed under: uncultured bacterium
Lineage: Bacteria
Description: partial 16S ribosomal RNA
Rfam family: Bacterial small subunit ribosomal RNA
Source: RNAcentral